AGCCUAUCUCAGUUCGGAUUGGAGGCUGAAACCCGCCUCCAUGAAGUUGGAUUCGCUAGUAAUCGCGCAUCAGCCAUGGCGCGGUGAAUACGUUCCCGGGCCUUGUACACACCGCCCGUCAAGCCAUGGGAGCUGGGGGUGCCUGAAGUUCGUGACCGCAAGGAUCGACCUAGGGCAAAAACCGGUGACUGGGGGCUAAGUCGUAACAAGGUAAC
Molecule: ribosomal RNA, 215 nt
Filed under: uncultured bacterium
Lineage: Bacteria
Description: partial 16S ribosomal RNA
Rfam family: Bacterial small subunit ribosomal RNA
Source: RNAcentral